This 490-nucleotide ribosomal RNA is filed under the name uncultured bacterium. Its description in RNAcentral is "partial 16S ribosomal RNA". It matches the Rfam family "Bacterial small subunit ribosomal RNA", at positions 30 to 507 of the family's 1533-position model. The record is from RNAcentral.
AUUGAACGCUGGCGGCAGGCCUAACACAUGCAAGUCGAACGGUAACAGGAAGAAGCUUGCUUCUUUGCUGACGAGUGGCGGACGGGUGAGUAAUGUCUGGGAAACUGCCUGAUGGAGGGGGAUAACUACUGGAAACGGUAGCUAAUACCGCAUAACGUCGCAAGACCAAAGAGGGGGACCUUCGGGCCUCUUGCCAUCGGAUGGGCCCAGAUGGGAUUAGCUAGUAGGUGGGGUAACGGCUCACCUAGGCGACGAUCCCUAGCUGGUCUGAGAGGAUGACCAGCCACACUGGAACUGAGACACGGUCCAGACUCCUACGGGAGGCAGCAGUGGGGAAUAUUGCACAAUGGGCGCAAGCCUGAUGCAGCCAUGCCGCGUGUAUGAAGAAGGCCUUCGGGUUGUAAAGUACUUUCAGCGGGGAGGAAGGGAGUAAAGUUAAUACCUUUGCUCAUUGACGUUACCCGCAGAAGAAGCACCGGCUAACUCCGUG